GUUGGACUGCAGAGCCCAAAGGUUAACUCGGCUGGCUCCACAGGCGGGAGUGGGAGAGCAGGGAAGAUGGUAGAGGGCCUCCCAAAGGUGCAGGGAGCUCUAGCUGACAAAUAAGCACCUGGAAGGUGGGGCUUUGUAUGUUAAAACCUACCUCAGACUUAAGAAAAUAUACCCCUUCCUGACCAGGUCUCCGAUUCUCUUGCAAUCAAGUCUCCAAGACUCUCCCUGUGUCACCACUCCAAUCACUGUGAUAGGCCAACAUCAAGACCCUCACAGAACCAGGUGAGGGCUAUUCAAAGGGUAACCACUGAUUAAGAAGUCAGGAAGUAGAGGCAAAACUGUCUCAAUGUCCUUGAAGACACUGGAAAGGGUGGUGGGGGGUAUGGGAGGUACUCCUAAUAAAACCUGAGGACAGGAGGGGACAGCAGUCCCUGUCCCUUCUGAGAGGACCCACUCUCUCCUUUGGUAGGUAUUGCCUUUCCCCUUUCUUAUUCCUUCUAAUAAACUAAGGCCGUUACAUUCCCUCAGUUUCUUGGAAGCCCGGGCUGCGCACCAUUAACACUGUUGCCACACGUGAAGGGAUGGGCUUCCUGGAGCCUGUUGACACCCGAACUGCAAGCUGAAAACAGGAGCUGGUCAGGCAAGAAGUAGGGAGAGGUCUGAUGGUAAGAGUAAGGGCAUUUGCAAUGUGGUCAAUGUUUAAUGAAUGAGUUAUUGAAUCAGAAAAUAAUUAAAAUGCAUACACAAACCAGUAUGUUA
This 759-nucleotide long non-coding RNA is filed under the name Marmota monax (woodchuck). Lineage: Eukaryota; Metazoa; Chordata; Mammalia; Rodentia; Sciuridae. The record is from RNAcentral.